RNAcentral lists this ribosomal RNA (415 nucleotides) under uncultured prokaryote. RNAcentral describes it as "bacterial SSU rRNA". It matches the Rfam family "Bacterial small subunit ribosomal RNA", at positions 505 to 918 of the family's 1533-position model. The record is from RNAcentral.
GUGCCAGCAGCCGCGGUAAAACGUAGGACGCGAGCGUUAUCCGGAUUUACUGGGCGUAAAGCGCAUGCAGGCGGCCUUGUAAGUCGGAUGUGACAUCUCCCGGCUCAACUGGGAGGCGUCAUUCGAUACUGCAAGGCUUGAGGGCAGGAGAGGGGAGUGGAAUUCCCGGUGUAGUGGUGAAAUGCGUAGACAUCGGGAGGAACACCAGUGGCGAAGGCGGCUCCCUGGCCUGUACCUGACGCUAAGAUGCGAAAGCGUGGGGAGCGAACGGGAUUAGAAACCCCGGUAGUCCACGCCGUAAACGAUGCGGACUAGGUGUGGGAGGUAUUGACCCCUUCCGUGCCGUAGCUAACGCGUUAAGUCCGCCGCCUGGGGAGUACGGCCGCAAGGCUAAAACUCAAAGGAAUUGACGGGG